Molecule: long non-coding RNA, 3742 nt
Organism: Anguilla anguilla (European eel)
Lineage: Eukaryota; Metazoa; Chordata; Actinopteri; Anguilliformes; Anguillidae
Exons: 8
Source: RefSeq, a predicted model, not a curated record
UUUGUCAGACUAUCUGAAAGCUUUCUCCUGGUACCCAGCUGGUCCACGUCAAUGCUCUGUGUUUUACAGGUUUACCGCGAUCUUUCACGUUUAGGUGCCCAGUGAGCAUGCUCUACAGCCAAAAAGCCCCAUGGUUAAACAUGGAAGCCUCCAUGAACUGGCUUCAUGCGCUUAAAUGACACGCUCCCAGCAGAUGCUGUCUCCAGAUCUUGUAUGUCUCGAUGGUAUAGCUCGGAUGUUCCACGGGAAGGCCCGCCUUUACCGCUGACAGCCUGACACUCAUGCACAUUAGCUGCACAAGCAUGGGAACGAAUCAUUCCGAUUGAUGAUCCGGUAGAUAAGUUCACUUUAAAGAUUUGUUUUUCGAAAAAUCGUGCGUUCACUUAUUGCCCGACAUUGCACAACAGAUGUAUUACCGACAGUACUAAUUUAAAGCUAGACAGCUAGUAGAAAGCACUAGGUUGAGAUAUUCUAGACACCUAGCAUACUAGCAACCACAACAAUGGCAGAGAAAUAUCUACCAAAAUUACCAGUUCCGCCUUUGUCGACAACGGCAUAUACUGAUAAAAAAUGCAAGAAAAGAAAGACUGAUGAAGAAAAGAUGUCGACCAAAAAGAAAUUAAACCGAGCAAGAGACAAGACAAGAGUGAACAUCGGAUUGGCUUUUCAGCGAUGGCGAGAGCUGAGAAAUUUGAAAGGCUUCAAAAGUGACGGCGAGCUUGCUGUAUUUCUUCUGGACAGGUAUUGCGCGAUGAAGACACAGGAAAACCUGAGGCAGAAAAGAACAAGAACAAGAAAAAAUGGCCAUGGAAGAGGGGCAAAAAGACCCGGUCCAUGUCUGCGGAGGAGCCAGCUGUUAUCGUCAGCUGCACAGAGCAUCCAGCCCUUCAACUGCAGAGACCAGCUUGCCCCGACAAGCAGCUGCGCAGGGCAGCCGGCUGUUCCGACUGACUGCGCAGAGCAGCCCGCCUCUGACAACUGACUGCAGAGACCAGCCGGCCCUGACUACUGACUGAGCAGAGCAGACGGCCCUGACAACAGACUGCACAGAGCAGCUGGACCUGACAACAAACUGCGCAGAGCAGCUGGACCUGACAACAAACUACACAGAGCAGCUGGACCUGACAACAAACUGCACAGAGCAGCUGGACCUGACAACCAACUGCGCAGAGCAGCUGGACCUGACAACCAACUGCGCAGAGCAGCUGGACCUGACAACCAACUGCACAGAGCAGCCAGCCCUGACAACCAACUGCGCAGAGCAGCUGGAUCUGACAACCAACUGCGCAGAGCAGCCGGCCCUGACAACCAACUGCGCAGAGCAGCUGGACCUGACAACCAACUGCGCAGAGCAGCCGGCCCUGACAACCAACUGCGCAGAGCAGCCGGCUGUUCCGACUGACUGCGCAGAGCAUCCAGCUCUUAUAAACAACUGCAAACAGCAGCCAGGGCAGACAGCUAACUGCACCUAGCAUCGGGCUCUUAGACCAAAAUGCACAAGUGGAGCAGGCCCUGACAAAAAACUGCAUGCAGCGGACUGCUUUCACAAAUUUACUGCACACAGCAGGCAAUCCUAAUGCGCAGUGGAGCAGGCCUGGACAACCAGCUGCGCAGUGCUGCCAGCUCUGCCCAUAGAUUGCACAAACCCGACUGUCCUGACCUCAGCAGAAGCAGUGGCUCCUUCCGAUCACCUGCGCAGAACAUAAGCAUGACUGCGCAGAGCACACUGCCAUGUCCAUAUACUCGGCACGUACUCCAUCCCAUCCUUCUGUCUUCCCAUCAGUCUUGGGAGGUAAUGUUUUCUUCUCUAGCACUCAAAGCCUUCAUCAUACUGUCUGAUUUAUACUGUUCUGAGGAAAAAUGGAAAAUAAUAUAAAAUAAUUAGGCAUAUUUCCCUAGUUGUGGCAAUCUUUCUACACUUUCUUAUGGCUGAGAUGAAGUUUGGUGAACUACGCAACAGUUUCAAAAAGUUCCUGGAAGAGCAUGUCAGUCAGGAUGACACCCAGAGUAACAGCCUGAAUUACACAGUACUUGGGUUACUAAAUCUGGAGAACACGUUACAUGAAUGCCACUCUCCAGAGUCUCAUUAGUUUACAAAAUUACAUCAAGGACAUCAGGAGAGAGGAGGGCAGCUAGAGGCCAAAUAUGACGACGCACUUCCUGAAGUGCCUGGUGGAUGUGCACUCAGUCCAGGACAGCUGCAGCAGUAAUAAAAAGACUGGUUUGCUGAAGACCCAGAAAAAGUCAGUCUCACAGAACAAUUGGGACUUCUGUGGGUAUAAACAACAGGCUGCGGGAUGAGGGUAAGCAAAACGGACUCCUAUAAUUCCCUGUGAGUGGGAAGUCUGGCACUCUACUUCAAGGAAAGCUUGCAGCUGGACCCACGUCACUGAGCAACAUCAAAGUUGUCGGUAUGUGAGGUAGAGUGUCAGUGCUACGUGUGCUUUGCUCAGUUUGCCUCUGUGGAGCAUAAACUACAAUCACUGCCUCUUUCAGCCUCUCAGUCUCUCAGUCAGUAUCCAUCUUUCAGUAUAUGAAGCCUGGACCCUGAGACUGGCAGCACAUACCUGGCUAAGUAAAGGACUCUUCAGUGUCCAGAGUGCAGGUUAUGCAGCUCAAUCCAGGCUGAAGUUGGAGAAGCUGCAGGACCCACUACAAAUCUCCCCACUGCUCAGCCUGCAGACCCACAGCAAGGCCAACACAUGCAGGCCAGGGAUUCACAGAACAGCCGGGUGAUUCUCCCUCUCCCUCGGGCAGUUAUGAAUACAGGCUCGCCAGUGUGCUGUCUCAUAUUGGGUCCAGCAUGCGUCAUGAUAAGGCACCCAGGUCAUUGUAUCAGUGAAUGCGCUGACCAGGAUGGAAACUGGCUGUCAUUUGAUGAUGAAACAGUGAAGAAAACUGACCUGGAGUCAGUGCUCAGCCAGCUGUGCAUACCUGCUCUUCUAUGAGUACAGGCAAGAGCCGGUCCAUGCCAAUAGCCCUGCUGUUCUGAGUAUAGUACAUGUAGGACCACUACUGUUCUGUGAAUACAGCACAGGGGUGCUGGUAAAUGGACCUGGAGAGAGCAGUGAAGGAGAGACCACGGGCCAGUCUCUCAAUGCCGAAACACCAGAGGGCCAGCCUCUCCCAGCCCAGAAACACCAGGACCAGCCUCUCAACCCAGAAAAAAUCAGGGCCAGCCUCUCAACCCAGAAUCACCAAGUCCAGCUUCUUUCAACCCAACGCAGAAACUCCUGGGCCAGCCUAUUUCAACCCCACUCAGAAACACCAGGGCCAGCUUCUUUCAACUGAACCCAGAAACACCAGAGCCAGCCUUUCUCAACUCGACCCACCAAUUUUUCCCUUGAGCAUGGGGGUUGCAACAACAUUAAUCAUGAAAUUUUAAAAAUGUUGUCAUAAUAUUUUAAAUCGUAAAAUUUGAAUGUACAUAGAUCAAUUAAAUUUUUGUUGAAGCGAUUAUUCUGUUUCGGGGGAGAACCGUGGAUUGUCUUCACUCUCCCGAGCCAGCAGCAGGAGCCGUGCAUGAGUAUGCUUGUACAUAGUUCACGAGUUGGGCAUUCCAAAUUCAGAAGGGACUGGAGAUGCCAAAAAUAAAUAAAUAAAAUAAAUUUAAAUUUCCUCUCAAAUUAUGAUGUGCUUAGAGUGAAUAAUCACCUCAGUAGGGAUAUGUCUAUGUAUGCUUUGGUUGCUGCCAUCUUGAAUUGAUGGUUAUUUUGCCAUAAAAAAAUUUUUUUAUAUACUU